Molecule: ribosomal RNA, 468 nt
Filed under: uncultured bacterium
Lineage: Bacteria
Description: partial 16S ribosomal RNA
Rfam family: Bacterial small subunit ribosomal RNA
Source: RNAcentral
GACGAACGCUGGCGGCGUGCUUAACACAUGCAAGUCGAACGGAAAGGCCCUGCUUUUGUGGGGUGCUCGAGUGGCGAACGGGUGAGUAACACGUGAGUAACCUGCCCUUGACUUUGGGAUAACUUCAGGAAACUGGGGCUAAUACCGGAUAGGAGCUCCUGCUGCAUGGUGGGGGUUGGAAAGUUUCGGCGGUUGGGGAUGGACUCGCGGCUUAUCAGCUUGUUGGUGGGGUAGUGGCUUACCAAGGCUUUGACGGGUAGCCGGCCUGAGAGGGUGACCGGCCACAUUGGGACUGAGAGACGGCCCAGACUCCUACGUGAGGCAGCAGUGGGGAAUAUUGCACAAUGGGCGGAAGCCUGAUGCGGCAACGCCGCGUGCGGGAUGACGGCCUUCGGGUUGUAAACCGCUUUCGCCUGUGGCGAAGCGUGAGUGACGGUAAUGGGUAAAGAAGCACCGGCUAACUACGUG